This 344-nucleotide long non-coding RNA is filed under the name Carica papaya (papaya). RNAcentral's name for it is "long non-coding RNA (CPAP_LNC011007)". The record is from RNAcentral. Lineage: Eukaryota; Viridiplantae; Streptophyta; Magnoliopsida; Brassicales; Caricaceae.
UCAAGAUAGAGUGAGGCAGUAUGCCACGAGUCCAAUGCGCUCGAUGAUCAAAAAAUCUCCCACAUAAUGACGGCUCAACUUCCCUCUCUUUCCAAAAUGCACCUUUGUUUUGUAGGGGUAGACUUUUAGGAAAACUUUAUCUCCCACGGCAAACUCCAAGGGUCAUCUACGAUUAUUGGCGUAGCUCUUUUGGCAACUCUAGGUAGUUGUCAAAUUCUUGCGGAUGAUUGCAAUCUUCUCAAUGGUCUCCUGAAUGAAGUCUGAUCCUAAGUGGUGCUGGUUCCCAACUUCACUCCAACAAGUAGUGGAACGACAAGGCCUUCCAUACAAUGCUUCAUACGAGG